RNAcentral lists this unclassified non-coding RNA (436 nucleotides) under uncultured bacterium. Its description in RNAcentral is "contains 16S-23S intergenic spacer region". It matches the Rfam family "Bacterial small subunit ribosomal RNA", at positions 957 to 1393 of the family's 1533-position model. The record is from RNAcentral.
UAACGCGAAGAACCUUACCAGGACUUGACAUCCCUCUGAAACUCCUGAUAACGAUGGAGCCUCCUUCGGGACAGAGGUGACAGGUGGUGCAUGGUUGUCGUCAGCUCGUGUCGUGAGAUGUUGGGUUAAGUCCAGCAACGAGCGCAACCCUUGCUGUUAGUUGCCAUCAUUAAGUUGGGCACUCUAACGGGACUGCCGGGGAUAACUCGGAGGAAGGUGGGGAUGACGUCAAAUCAUCAUGCCCCUUAUGUUCUGGGCUACACACGUGCUACAAUGGUCGGUACAAAGAGCAGCAAGACCGUGAGGUGGAGCAAAUCUCAAAAACCGAUCCCAGUUCGGAUUGUAGGCUGCAACUCGCCUACAUGAAGUUGGAGUUGCUAGUAAUCGCGGAUCAGAAUGCCGCGGUGAAUGCGUUCCCGGGUCUUGUACACACCGA